RNAcentral lists this ribosomal RNA (253 nucleotides) under uncultured bacterium. RNAcentral describes it as "partial 16S ribosomal RNA". It matches the Rfam family "Bacterial small subunit ribosomal RNA", at positions 524 to 776 of the family's 1533-position model. The record is from RNAcentral.
UACGUAGGGUGCGAGCGUUGUCCGGAAUUAUUGGGCGUAAAGAGCUUGUAGGUGGUUUGUCGCGUCUGCUGUGAAAAUCCGAGGCUCAACCUCGGACUUGCAGUGGGUACGGGCAGACUAGAGUGUGGUAGGGGAGACUGGAAUUCCUGGUGUAGCGGUGGAAUGCGCAGAUAUCAGGAGGAACACCGGUGGCGAAGGCGGAUCUCUGGGCCAUUACUGACGCUGAGGAGCGAAAGCGUGGGGAGCGAACAGG